GCGUCCGUAGCUUAACCGGUGAACGGUGGCGAGAGUCGAUGCUGAGGGCAACCAGCGUGCAAGUCAUUCGAGCCGGCGCCGCCUCGGCGCGUGCCGGCGACUUGAUCGCCGCAGUUUCCGGGUCGCACUGGGGAUCUCAGAUCAAAAUCGUUGUCAAAAAGCCGCGGCCUUAAAAGCCGUUAGAUGCGGGUUCGAGUCCCGUCGGGCGCA
This 210-nucleotide transfer RNA is filed under the name Solirubrobacter ginsenosidimutans. RNAcentral describes it as "tRNA-Leu". The record is from RNAcentral. Lineage: Bacteria; Bacillati; Actinomycetota; Thermoleophilia; Solirubrobacterales; Solirubrobacteraceae.